RNAcentral lists this ribosomal RNA (253 nucleotides) under uncultured bacterium. Its description in RNAcentral is "partial 16S ribosomal RNA". It matches the Rfam family "Bacterial small subunit ribosomal RNA", at positions 524 to 776 of the family's 1533-position model. The record is from RNAcentral.
UACGAGGGGUGCAAGCGUUACUCGGAAUUACUGGGCGUAAAGCGUGCGUAGGCGGUUUGUUAAGUCUGCUGUGAAAGCCCCGGGCUCAACCUGGGAACGGCAGUGGAUACUGGCAAGCUAGAGUGUGUCAGAGGAUGGUGGAAUUCCCGGUGUAGCGGUGAAAUGCGUAGAGAUCGGGAGGAACAUCAGUGGCGAAGGCGGCCAUCUGGGACAACACUGACGCUGAGGCACGAAAGCGUGGGGAGCAAACAGG